Molecule: transfer RNA, 73 nt
Filed under: Methylobacter tundripaludum
Lineage: Bacteria; Pseudomonadati; Pseudomonadota; Gammaproteobacteria; Methylococcales; Methylococcaceae
Also listed under: 2 other names
Description: tRNA-Asn
Rfam family: tRNA
About the family: Transfer RNA (tRNA) molecules are approximately 80 nucleotides in length. Their secondary structure includes four short double-helical elements and three loops (D, anti-codon, and T loops). Further hydrogen bonds mediate the characteristic L-shaped molecular structure. tRNAs have two regions of fundamental functional importance: the anti-codon, which is responsible for specific mRNA codon recognition, and the 3' end, to which the tRNAs corresponding amino acid is attached (by aminoacyl-tRNA synthetases). tRNAs cope with the degeneracy of the genetic code in two manners: having more than one tRNA (with a specific anti-codon) for a particular amino acid; and 'wobble' base-pairing, i.e. permitting non-standard base-pairing at the 3rd anti-codon position.
Source: RNAcentral
UCCCCUGUAGCUCAGUCGGUAGAGCGGAUGACUGUUAAUCAUUAGGUCGGCGGUUCGAGCCCGUCCGGGGGAG